CCCUAUCGAGCUUUAACUUCAUUACUUAUUUUAACAAGUAAAUAAGUUUUUAUUGGGGCAAUAAGAGAGCACCCCUAGCCUCUCCUCUUUCUUAAGGUAAACUAAUUUAAUUUGAUACAUUUAAAAAUUAUCAUAGACACCAGCUACCGUAGGGAUAACAGACUAAUUUCCCUUGAGAGUUCACAUUGACAGGGAAGCUUGGCACCUCGAUGUUGGCUUAAGAUAACAGUUAAGAAGCAGCAUUCUAACCUUGUAGGCUUGUUCAGCCUUUAAUAUCUUACGUGAU
RNAcentral lists this ribosomal RNA (286 nucleotides) under Phascolosoma sp. Its description in RNAcentral is "partial large subunit ribosomal RNA". It matches the Rfam family "Bacterial large subunit ribosomal RNA", at positions 2089 to 2604 of the family's 2925-position model. Lineage: Eukaryota; Metazoa; Annelida; Sipuncula; Phascolosomatiformes; Phascolosomatidae. The record is from RNAcentral.